RNAcentral lists this transfer RNA (69 nucleotides) under Chauna torquata (southern screamer). Its description in RNAcentral is "tRNA-Ala". It matches the Rfam family "tRNA". Rfam says of the family: Transfer RNA (tRNA) molecules are approximately 80 nucleotides in length. The record is from RNAcentral. Lineage: Eukaryota; Metazoa; Chordata; Aves; Anseriformes; Anhimidae.
AAGGCCUUAGCUUAAUUAAAGUGUCUGGUUUGCAUCCAGAAGAUACAGGUUAAUACCCUGUUGGUCUUA